Non-coding RNA from Erinaceus europaeus (western European hedgehog), 319 nucleotides. The record is from Rfam. Lineage: Eukaryota; Metazoa; Chordata; Mammalia; Eulipotyphla; Erinaceidae.
AGAUGUGAAGGUGAUCUGGCUGUGACAUCUGUCACCCCACUGAUCUCCAGGGUUGAUUUGGCUGAUCUGGCUGGCUAGGCAGGUGUCCCCUUCCUCCCUCACUGCUCCAUGUGCGUCCCUCCCGAAGCUGCACGCUCGGUCAAAGAGGACGGCCUUCCCCGAAUAGAGACGGACCGGUCUUUGGUCGAGGGUAUACAAGUAGCUGCACUCCCCUGCUAGAACCUCCAAACAAGCUCUGAAGGUCCAUUCAUUUUUAUUGACUUUAAAUUCUCAUGCAAAAGCUUAUUAGAUUAUUAAGGUUAUCCCCCCACACAGUGGG